Molecule: ribosomal RNA, 305 nt
Filed under: uncultured bacterium
Lineage: Bacteria
Description: bacterial SSU rRNA
Rfam family: Bacterial small subunit ribosomal RNA
Source: RNAcentral
UGGCGCCUACGGGACGCAGCAGUGAGGAAUAUUGGUCAAUGGGCGGAAGCCUGAACCAGCCAAGUCGCGUGAGGGAAUAAGGCCCUACGGGUCGUAAACCUCUUUUGCCGGAGAGCAAGGGCGGGGACGUGUCCCGGCCCGGAGAGUACCCGGAGAAAAAGCAUCGGCUAACUCCGUGCCAGCAGCCGCGGUAAUACGUAGGGGGCAAGCGUUAUCCGGAUUUACUGGGGGUAAAGGGAGCGCAGGCGGCGUGGCAAGUCAGAUGUGAAAACCCGGGGCCCAACCCCGGGAGUGCAUUUGAAACG